AGAGUUUGAUCCUGGCUCAGGAUGAACGCUGGCGGUGUGCCUAAUACAUGCAAGUCGAGCGAACGGACGAGAAGCUUGCUUCUCUGAUGUUAGCGGCGGACGGGUGAGUAACACGUGGAUAACCUACCUAUAAGACUGGGAUAACUUCGGGAAACCGGAGCUAAUACCGGAUAAUAUUUUGAACCGCAUGGUUCAAAAGUGAAAGACGGUCUUGCUGUCACUUAUAGAUGGAUCCGCGCUGCAUUAGCUAGUUGGUAAGGUAACGGCUUACCAAGGCAACGAUGCAUAGCCGACCUGAGAGGGUGAUCGGCCACACUGGAACUGAGACACGGUCCAGACUCCUACGGGAGGCAGCAGUAGGGAAUCUUCCGCAAUGGGCGAAAGCCUGACGGAGCAACGCCGCGUGAGUGAUGAAGGUCUUCGGAUCGUAAAACUCUGUUAUUAGGGAAGAACAUAUGUGUAAGUAACUGUGCACAUCUUGACGGUACCUAAUCAGAAAGCCACGGCUAACUACGUGCCAGCAGCCGCGGUAAUACGUAGGUGGCAAGCGUUAUCCGGAAUUAUUGGGCGUAAAGCGCGCGUAGGCGGUUUUUUAAGUCUGAUGUGAAAGCCCACGGCUCAACCGUGGAGGGUCAUUGGAAACUGGAAAACUUGAGUGCAGAAGAGGAAAGUGGAAUUCCAUGUGUAGCGGUGAAAUGCGCAGAGAUAUGGAGGAACACCAGUGGCGAAGGCGACUUUCUGGUCUGUAACUGACGCUGAUGUGCGAAAGCGUGGGGAUCAAACAGGAUUAGAUACCCUGGUAGUCCACGCCGUAAACGAUGAGUGCUAAGUGUUAGGGGGUUUCCGCCCCUUAGUGCUGCAGCUAACGCAUUAAGCACUCCGCCUGGGGAGUACGACCGCAAGGUUGAAACUCAAAGGAAUUGACGGGGACCCGCACAAGCGGUGGAGCAUGUGGUUUAAUUCGAAGCAACGCGAAGAACCUUACCAAAUCUUGACAUCCUUUGACAACUCUAGAGAUAGAGCCUUCCCCUUCGGGGGACAAAGUGACAGGUGGUGCAUGGUUGUCGUCAGCUCGUGUCGUGAGAUGUUGGGUUAAGUCCCGCAACGAGCGCAACCCUUAAGCUUAGUUGCCAUCAUUAAGUUGGGCACUCUAAGUUGACUGCCGGUGACAAACCGGAGGAAGGUGGGGAUGACGUCAAAUCAUCAUGCCCCUUAUGAUUUGGGCUACACACGUGCUACAAUGGACAAUACAAAGGGCAGCGAAACCGCGAGGUCAAGCAAAUCCCAUAAAGUUGUUCUCAGUUCGGAUUGUAGUCUGCAACUCGACUACAUGAAGCUGGAAUCGCUAGUAAUCGUAGAUCAGCAUGCUACGGUGAAUACGUUCCCGGGUCUUGUACACACCGCCCGUCACACCACGAGAGUUUGUAACACCCGAAGCCGGUGGAGUAACCUUUUAGGAGCUAGCCGUCGAAGGUGGGACAAAUGAUUGGGGUGAAGUCGUAACAAGGUAGCCGUAUCGGAAGGUGCGGCUGGAUCACCU
Molecule: ribosomal RNA, 1540 nt
Filed under: Staphylococcus aureus H81901
Lineage: Bacteria; Bacillati; Bacillota; Bacilli; Caryophanales; Staphylococcaceae
Description: 16S ribosomal RNA
Rfam family: Bacterial small subunit ribosomal RNA
Source: RNAcentral